GCGUCGGUGGCAUAGUGAUUAAGACUUUUGCCUACCAUGCACAUGGUCUGGGGUUCGAUCCCCUGCCGACGCA
RNAcentral lists this transfer RNA (73 nucleotides) under Trichobilharzia regenti. It matches the Rfam family "tRNA". Rfam says of the family: Transfer RNA (tRNA) molecules are approximately 80 nucleotides in length. Their secondary structure includes four short double-helical elements and three loops (D, anti-codon, and T loops). The record is from Rfam by way of RNAcentral. Lineage: Eukaryota; Metazoa; Platyhelminthes; Trematoda; Strigeidida; Schistosomatidae.